Molecule: ribosomal RNA, 262 nt
Filed under: uncultured bacterium
Lineage: Bacteria
Description: partial 16S ribosomal RNA
Rfam family: Bacterial small subunit ribosomal RNA
Source: RNAcentral
UUAGUGGCGGACGGGUGAGUAACGCGUGGAGAACCUGCCGUAUACUGGGGGAUAACACUUAGAAAUAGGUGCUAAUACCGCAUAAGCGCACAGCUUCGCAUGAAGCAGUGUGAAAAACUCCGGUGGUAUGAGAUGGCCCCGCGUCUGAUUAGGCAGUUGGCGGGGUAACGGCCCACCAAACCGACGAUCAGUAGCCGACCUGAGAGGGUGACCGGCUACAUUGGGACUGAGACACGGCCCAAACUCCUACGGGAGGCAGCAG